Molecule: ribosomal RNA, 860 nt
Filed under: Cytospora hoffmannii
Lineage: Eukaryota; Fungi; Ascomycota; Sordariomycetes; Diaporthales; Cytosporaceae
Description: Valsa nivea partial large subunit ribosomal RNA
Rfam family: Eukaryotic large subunit ribosomal RNA
Source: RNAcentral
AGCAUAUCAAUAAGCGGAGGAAAAGAAACCAACAGGGAUUGCCCUAGUAACGGCGAGUGAAGCGGCAACAGCUCAAAUUUGAAAGCUGGCUCCGGCCCGCAUUGUAAUUUGCAGAGGAUGCUUUUGGCGAGGUGCCUUCCGAGUUCCCUGGAACGGGACGCCAUAGAGGGUGAGAGCCCCGUAUGGAUGGACACCAGACCUGUGUAAAGCUCCUUCAACGAGUCGAGUAGUUUGGGAAUGCUGCUCUAAAUGGGAGGUAAAUCUCUUCUAAAGCUAAAUACCGGCCAGAGACCGAUAGCGCACAAGUAGAGUGAUCGAAAGAUGAAAAGCACCUUGAAAAGGGGGUUAAACAGUACGUGAAAUUGUUGAAAGGGAAGCGCUUGUGACCAGACUUGCGCCGGGCAGUUCAUCAGGGGUUCUCCCCUGUGCACUCUGCCCGGCUCAGGCCAGCAUCGGUUCUCGUGGGAGGAUAAGAACAGUGGGAACGUGGCCCCCUCUCGGGGGGGUGUUAUAGCCCAUUGUACGAUACUCUCGUGGGGACCGAGGUUCGCGCUCCGCAAGGAUGCUGGCGUAAUGGUCAUCAGCGACCCGUCUUGAAACACGGACCAAGGAGUCGUCCAUUAGAGCGAGCGUUUGGGUGUAAAACCCGCACGCGUAAUGAAAGUGAACGCAGGUGAGAGCUUCGGCGCAUCAUCGACCGAUCCUGAUGUCUUCGGAUGGAUUUGAGUAAGAGUUUUAACGGACGGACCCGAAAGACAGUGAACUAUGCUUGUAUAGGGUGAAGCCAGAGGAAACUCUGGUGGAGGCUCGCAGCGGUUCUGACGUGCAAAUCGAUCGUCAAAUAUGAGCAUGGGGGCGAA